GGGACGACUACACCUCUUCACGGAAAUUCUCGGAUCCUUGAAACAACACUUUCAGGGCUCAGCAGAAUGGACAUAGAAACAGCAGUGGUCGAUGAUUGCAUUGAUCCAAAUUUGGAAGUUGUGUGGCAGUUGUGGAGAUCAGAAGUUUAAAAUAAGCCAUUUUGGGACUUGCCUGGUGGCGCAGUGGUUAAGAAUCUGCCUGCCAAUGCAGGGGACACAGGUUCGAGCCCUGGUCCAGGAAGAUCCCACAUGCUGCAGAGUAACUAAGCCCGUGCACCACAACUACUGAGCCUGCGCUCUAGAGCCCGCGAGCCACAACUACUGAAGCCUGCACACAUGGAGCCUGUGUUCCGCAACAAGAGAAGCUACCGCAAUGAGAAGCCCGUGCACUGCAGCGAAGAGUAGCCCCUGCUCAACGCAAUUAGAGAAAGCCCGCACGCAGCAACAAAGACCCAACGCAGCCAUAAUUUCCCUUCUGAGAAGCUGAAAGUCAAGGGAUUAUUUUGGGGAAUUAAAGUAAUUGCAAAGAGAAACAGCAUG
Molecule: long non-coding RNA, 540 nt
Organism: Eubalaena glacialis (North Atlantic right whale)
Lineage: Eukaryota; Metazoa; Chordata; Mammalia; Artiodactyla; Balaenidae
Exons: 4
Source: RefSeq, a predicted model, not a curated record